This 459-nucleotide ribosomal RNA is filed under the name Salmonella enterica subsp. enterica serovar Heidelberg. RNAcentral's name for it is "partial 16S ribosomal RNA". It matches the Rfam family "Bacterial small subunit ribosomal RNA", at positions 1 to 456 of the family's 1533-position model. The record is from RNAcentral. RNAcentral also lists the same sequence under 1 other name. Lineage: Bacteria; Pseudomonadati; Pseudomonadota; Gammaproteobacteria; Enterobacterales; Enterobacteriaceae.
AAAUUGAAGAGUUUGAUCAUGGCUCAGAUUGAACGCUGGCGGCAGGCCUAACACAUGCAAGUCGAACGGUAACAGGAAGCAGCUUGCUGCUUCGCUGACGAGUGGCGGACGGGUGAGUAAUGUCUGGGAAACUGCCUGAUGGAGGGGGAUAACUACUGGAAACGGUGGCUAAUACCGCAUAACGUCGCAAGACCAAAGAGGGGGACUUUCGGGCCUCUUGCCAUCAGAUGUGCCCAGAUGGGAUUAGCUUGUUGGUGAGGUAACGGCUCACCAAGGCGACGAUCCCUAGCUGGUCUGAGAGGAUGACCAGCCACACUGGAACUGAGACACGGUCCAGACUCCUACGGGAGGCAGCAGUGGGGAAUAUUGCACAAUGGGCGCAAGCCUGAUGCAGCCAUGCCGCGUGUAUGAAGAAGGCCUUCGGGUUGUAAAGUACUUUCAGCGGGGAGGAAGGUGUUG